This 490-nucleotide ribosomal RNA is filed under the name uncultured bacterium. Its description in RNAcentral is "partial 16S ribosomal RNA". It matches the Rfam family "Bacterial small subunit ribosomal RNA", at positions 30 to 507 of the family's 1533-position model. The record is from RNAcentral.
AUUGAACGCUGGCGGCAGGCCUAACACAUGCAAGUCGAACGGUAACAGGAAGAAGCUUGCUUCUUUGCUGACGAGUGGCGGACGGGUGAGUAAUGUCUGGGAAACUGCCUGAUGGAGGGGGAUAACUACUGGAAACGGUAGCUAAUACCGCAUAACGUCGCAAGACCAAAAAGGGGGACCUUCGGGCCUCUUGCCAUCGGAUGUGCCCAGAUGGGAUUAGCUAGUAGGUGGGGUAACGGCUCACCUAGGCGACGAUCCCUAGCUGGUCUGAGAGGAUGACCAGCCACACUGGAACUGAGACACGGUCCAGACUCCUACGGGAGGCAGCAGUGGGGAAUAUUGCACAAUGGGCGCAAGCCUGAUGCAGCCAUGCCGCGUGUAUGAAGAAGGCCUUCGGGUUGUAAAGUACUUUCAGCGGGGAGGAAGGGAGUAAAGUUAAGACCUUUGCUCAUUGACGUUACCCGCAGAAGAAGCACCGGCUAACUCCGUG